This 492-nucleotide ribosomal RNA is filed under the name uncultured bacterium. Its description in RNAcentral is "partial 16S ribosomal RNA". It matches the Rfam family "Bacterial small subunit ribosomal RNA", at positions 29 to 507 of the family's 1533-position model. The record is from RNAcentral.
AGUGAACGCUGGCGGUAGGCCUAACACAUGCAAGUCGAACGGCAGCACAGUAAGAGCUUGCUCUUACGGGUGGCGAGUGGCGGACGGGUGAGGAAUACAUCGGCAUCUACUUUUUCGUGGGGGAUAACGUAGGGAAACUUACGCUAAUACCGCAUACGACCUACGGGUGAAAGCAGGGGAUCUUCGGACCUUUCGCGAUUGAAUGAGCCGAUGUCGGAUUAGCUAGUUGGCGGGGUAAAGGCCCACCAAGGCGACGAUCCGUAGCUGGUCUGAGAGGAUGAUCAGCCACACUGGAACUGAGACACGGUCCAGACUCCUACGGGAGGCAGCAGUGGGGAAUAUUGGACAAUGGGCGCAAGCCUGAUCCAGCCAUACCGCGUGAGUGAAGAAGGCCUUCGGGUUGUAAAGCCCUUUUGUUGGGAAAGAAAAGCAGCAGGUUAAUACCCCGCUGUUCUGACGGUACCCAAAGAGUAAGCACCGGCUAACUUCGUG